CUCGCGGUAGCUCAGUUGAAUAGAGCAAGGCUUUCCUAAAGCAGAGGUCGGAGGUUUGAAUCCUUCCCGCGGGA
This 74-nucleotide transfer RNA is filed under the name Caudoviricetes sp. Its description in RNAcentral is "tRNA-Arg". It matches the Rfam family "tRNA". From Rfam's summary of the family: Transfer RNA (tRNA) molecules are approximately 80 nucleotides in length. Lineage: Duplodnaviria; Heunggongvirae; Uroviricota; Caudoviricetes. The record is from RNAcentral.